This 253-nucleotide ribosomal RNA is filed under the name uncultured bacterium. Its description in RNAcentral is "partial 16S ribosomal RNA". It matches the Rfam family "Bacterial small subunit ribosomal RNA", at positions 524 to 776 of the family's 1533-position model. The record is from RNAcentral.
UACAGAGACUGCAAGCGUUAUUCGGAUUCACUGGGCGUAAAGGGUGCGCAGGCGGCCACGUGUGUGGGGUGUGAAAGCUCGAAGCUUAACUUCGAAACAGCACCCCAAACUACGUGGCUAGAGCAUUGGAGGGAGUAGCAGAAUUCACGGUGUAGCAGUGAAAUGCGUAGAUAUCGUGAGGAAUACCAGAGGCGAAGGCGGCUACUUGGACAAUUGCUGACGCUCAGGCACGAAAGCGUGGGGAGCAAAAGGG